Molecule: ribosomal RNA, 497 nt
Filed under: uncultured bacterium
Lineage: Bacteria
Description: partial 16S ribosomal RNA
Rfam family: Bacterial small subunit ribosomal RNA
Source: RNAcentral
GAUGAACGCUGGCGGCGUGCCUAAUACAUGCGAGUCGAGCGAACAGACGAGGAGCUUGCUCCUCUGACGUUAGCGGCGGACGGGUGAGUAACACGUGGAUAACCUACCUAUAAGACUGGGAUAACUUCGGGAAACCGGAGCUAAUACCGGAUAAUAUAUUGAACCGCAUGGUUCAAUAGUGAAAGACGGUUUUGCUGUCACUUAUAGAUGGAUCCGCGCCGCAUUAGCUAGUUGGUAAGGUAACGGCUUACCAAGGCAACGAUGCGCAGCCGACCUGAGAGGGUGAUCGGCCACACUGGAACUGAGACACGGUCCAGACUCCUACGGGAGGCAGCAGUAGGGAAUCUUCCGCAAUGGGCGAAAGCCUGACGGAGCAACGCCGCGUGAGUGAUGAAGGUCUUCGGAUCGUAAAGCUCUGUUAUUAGGGAAGAACAAAUGUGUAAGUAACUAUGCACGUCUUGACGGUACCUAAUCAGAAAGCCACGGCUAACUACGUG